ACAUGCAAGUCGAGCGAACAGAUAAGGAGCUUGCUCCUUUGACGUUAGCGGCGGACGGGUGAGUAACACGUGGAUAACCUACCUAUAAGACUGGGAUAACUUCGGGAAACCGGAGCUAAUACCGGAUAACAUAUUGAACCGCAUGGUUCAAUAGUGAAAGGCGGCUUUGCUGUCACUUAUAGAUGGAUCCGCGCCGUAUUAGCUAGUUGGUAAGGUAACGGCUUACCAAGGCAACGAUACGUAGCCGACCUGAGAGGGUGAUCGGCCACACUGGAACUGAGACACGGUCCAGACUCCUACGGGAGGCAGCAGUAGGGAAUCUUCCGCAAUGGGCGAAAGCCUGACGGAGCAACGCCGCGUGAGUGAUGAAGGUCUUCGGAUCGUAAAACUCUGUUAUCAGGGAAGAACAAAUGUGUAAGUAACUGUGCACAUCUUGACGGUACCUGAUCAGAAAGCCACGGCUAACUACGUGCCAGCAGCCGCGGUAAUACGUAGGUGGCAAGCGUUAUCCGGAAUUAUUGGGCGUAAAGCGCGCGUAGGCGGUUUUUUAAGUCUGAUGUGAAAGCCCACGGCUCAACCGUGGAGGGUCAUUGGAAACUGGAAAACUUGAGUGCAGAAGAGGAAAGUGGAAUUCCAUGUGUAGCGGUGAAAUGCGCAGAGAUAUGGAGGAACACCAGUGGCGAAGGCGACUUUCUGGUCUGUAACUGACGCUGAUGUGCGAAAGCGUGGGGAUCAAACAGGAUUAGAUACCCUGGUAGUCCACGCCGUAAACGAUGAGUGCUAAGUGUUAGGGGG
RNAcentral lists this ribosomal RNA (795 nucleotides) under Staphylococcus sp. RNAcentral describes it as "bacterial SSU rRNA". It matches the Rfam family "Bacterial small subunit ribosomal RNA", at positions 53 to 830 of the family's 1533-position model. The record is from RNAcentral. Lineage: Bacteria; Bacillati; Bacillota; Bacilli; Caryophanales; Staphylococcaceae.